RNAcentral lists this long non-coding RNA (237 nucleotides) under Trifolium pratense (red clover). RNAcentral describes it as "long non-coding RNA (TPRA_LNC011619)". The record is from RNAcentral. Lineage: Eukaryota; Viridiplantae; Streptophyta; Magnoliopsida; Fabales; Fabaceae.
ACCUUCGAGAAGUGUAUUAGCAAGGAUUGAAGGUCUGGAAAUGAAGUAAGAAUGACUCUUGUCAUCAACACAAACGAUAAUAAACACACGACCAUGAUCCUGCAAUUCAACAAUGUUGGCCCCAACUUUCAUGUAAUUAGUGGAAGAUGCAGCACAAACAUCAAUUUGAAGCUGAGUGGUGAAGUUGGAAAAGACUUCAACAAAGGUAUAUGAGAUAUAUCUAUGCAAGUUCAGUGG